RNAcentral lists this transfer RNA (86 nucleotides) under Pseudoalteromonas rubra. Its description in RNAcentral is "tRNA-Glu". Lineage: Bacteria; Pseudomonadati; Pseudomonadota; Gammaproteobacteria; Alteromonadales; Pseudoalteromonadaceae. The record is from RNAcentral.
ACGACCGUAGCUCAGUUGGUUAGAGCACCACCACUCUCUAUGACCCGGUCCAGCAGUCAGUGAUUCGGAUCCACUCGGUCGUACCA